AUGAAUGGGCGGGCCUUGAUCCCACGAAAAAUU
RNAcentral lists this transfer RNA (33 nucleotides) under Anolis sagrei (brown anole). RNAcentral describes it as "partial tRNA-Asx". The record is from RNAcentral. Lineage: Eukaryota; Metazoa; Chordata; Lepidosauria; Squamata; Anolidae.